GCUAAGUUCGUGCCAGCAGCCGCGGUAAGACGAACCGUCCGAACGUUAUUCGGAAUUACUGGGCUUAAAGGGUGCGUAGGCGGCCCUGCAAGUCAGGUGUGAAAUCCCACGGCUCAACCGUGGAACUGCGCUUGAAACUGCAGGGCUUGAGGGAGAUAGGGGUGAGCGGAACUGAUGGUGGAGCGGUGAAAUGCGUUGAUAUCAUCAGGAACACCGGUGGCGAAGGCGGCUCACUGGGUCUCUUCUGACGCUGAGGCACGAAAGCUAGGGGAGCGAACGGGAUUAGAUACCCCGGUAGUC
RNAcentral lists this ribosomal RNA (300 nucleotides) under uncultured Blastopirellula sp. Its description in RNAcentral is "bacterial SSU rRNA". It matches the Rfam family "Bacterial small subunit ribosomal RNA", at positions 496 to 795 of the family's 1533-position model. Lineage: Bacteria; Pseudomonadati; Planctomycetota; Planctomycetia; Pirellulales; Pirellulaceae. The record is from RNAcentral.